UGAGUAAGUCGGAUAGUCGCGGAUACCUUUAUAGGUAGACGAGGAAAGUCCGAGCUCCAUAGAGUAGGGUGCUGGGUAAUACCCAGUGGAGGCGACUCCAAGGAUAGUGCAACAGAAAUAAACCGCCACAAUUGUUUGUGGUAAGGAUGGAAAGGUGAGGUAAGAGCUCACCAGCAGCUAGGUGACUAGCUGGCUAUGUAAACCCCACCUGGAGCAAGACCAAGUAGGAACAUGAAAAGAGGGUUGCUCGCUCUCGUUCCGUUGGUAGGUCGCUUGAGCCUACUGGCAACAGUAGGCCUAGACAGAUGGCUAUUUAUUACAGAACUCGGCUUAUAGAUUUACUCAUUAU
RNAcentral lists this RNase P RNA (349 nucleotides) under Tepidibacter hydrothermalis. RNAcentral's name for it is "Tepidibacter sp. SWIR-1 RNase P RNA component class A". It matches the Rfam family "Bacterial RNase P class A". Rfam says of the family: Ribonuclease P (RNase P) is a ubiquitous endoribonuclease, found in archaea, bacteria and eukarya as well as chloroplasts and mitochondria. Its best characterised activity is the generation of mature 5'-ends of tRNAs by cleaving the 5'-leader elements of precursor-tRNAs. Cellular RNase Ps are ribonucleoproteins. Lineage: Bacteria; Bacillati; Bacillota; Clostridia; Peptostreptococcales; Peptostreptococcaceae. The record is from RNAcentral.